UUUUUUUUUAAAAAUAAAUCAAAGAGAUUAAUUAGUGUACAAGAGAGAGGGAAGUAUAAAUUAUUCUUGUUUGGAUCAUCCGCCCUUGAAGAAUCUCAAUCUCUUGGCAAUGGGUGAAGAAAAAUGGUGUGUGGUGACCGGCGGAAGAGGCUUUGCUGCUCGACAUUUAGUCGAAAUGCUCAUCCGCUACGAAAUUUAUCAUGUACGCAUUGGUGAUUUGGGGCCAACCAUUAAACUUGAGCCUCAUGAGGAAAAGGGUAUUCUUGGAGAAGCCCUCAAAUCUGGUCGUGCUGUAUAUGUAUCCAUGGAUCUUCUUAACAAGUCCCAAGUGUUCAAAGCUUGUGAAGGAGCUGAGGUUGUUUUCCACAUGGCUGCUCCAGAUUCAUCGAUCAACAACCACAAGCUCCACUAUUCAGUUAAUGUGCAAGGAACCCAG
RNAcentral lists this unclassified non-coding RNA (436 nucleotides) under Hevea brasiliensis (rubber tree). Lineage: Eukaryota; Viridiplantae; Streptophyta; Magnoliopsida; Malpighiales; Euphorbiaceae. The record is from RNAcentral.